RNAcentral lists this non-coding RNA (29 nucleotides) under Rattus norvegicus (Norway rat). Lineage: Eukaryota; Metazoa; Chordata; Mammalia; Rodentia; Muridae. The record is from RNAcentral.
UCUGAAGGACAAUAACUAGUUCUGGUGUU